UACGGAGGUUGCAAGCGUUAUCCGGAUUUAUUGGGUUUAAAGGGUGCGUAGGCGGACCUAUAAGUCAGCGGUGAAAGACUGUCGCUUAACGAUAGCAUUGCCGUUGAUACUGUAGAUCUUGAGUACAUUUGAGGUGGGCGGAAUGUGUAGUGUAGCGGUGAAAUGCUUAGAUAUUACACAGAACACCAAUUGCGAAGGCAGCUCACUAAACUGUAACUGACGCUGAGGCACGAAAGCGUGGGGAUCAAACAGG
This 253-nucleotide ribosomal RNA is filed under the name uncultured bacterium. RNAcentral describes it as "partial 16S ribosomal RNA". It matches the Rfam family "Bacterial small subunit ribosomal RNA", at positions 524 to 776 of the family's 1533-position model. The record is from RNAcentral.